RNAcentral lists this long non-coding RNA (605 nucleotides) under Olea europaea (common olive). RNAcentral describes it as "long non-coding RNA (OEUR_LNC011350)". Lineage: Eukaryota; Viridiplantae; Streptophyta; Magnoliopsida; Lamiales; Oleaceae. The record is from RNAcentral.
UGAUAAGUUACUUUUAAGCUUAAACUGACAUUCUUUACAAUGAUCCAAUGAUCCAAACCAAGUGACAUAACAUUAAUCAAAACAUUAUGAACUCAGCUAAUCUAGUACACGAGGUGCUAAACUAUUGACUGUAACAAUUCCUCUUGGUGUAGAUGGAAAUGAAUCCGUCAAUAAAACUUUAAAACCAUGCUGGCCUAAAUCCCCGCUUCAAGGACUUCAAGAUCUUCAAGGAUACCCUUCAAAAACUGGAUGGAUUAAAUGAAUUCAGCAAGCUGGAUUCGAAAUUGCCAGUUGGUGGAGAGCAGAAUCGAUACUUCCAUUGAAUGGUGCGUGAGUAGAGAGCAGAGAGUUAGAAGCAGCUGUACAUAUCCAGAAGAGUGAUAGAGAGAGAGAAAUAGUGGGUGAGAGAGAGAGAAUUGUGUUGCUGGAAAAUAGUUAGUGGGGUAUUACAAUUAAUAUUGAGUUGCUGGCUUAGAGUGAAAUUAUUUAGUGUGUGGUAAGGUGUGUGUGUGUCAAAAAUUAAUUGUACAAGUUGCUUUUGUGUUCCAAAAUUCAUCAAGACCAACCGUAUGCAAAGGCGAAAAUCAAACUUAAGACUGGAAAUC